This 233-nucleotide ribosomal RNA is filed under the name uncultured bacterium. Its description in RNAcentral is "partial 16S ribosomal RNA". It matches the Rfam family "Bacterial small subunit ribosomal RNA", at positions 1258 to 1500 of the family's 1533-position model. The record is from RNAcentral.
CAAUGGGAUGCGAAUCUCGAAAGCCUGUCUCAGUUCGGAUUGGAGGCUGAAACCGCCUCCAUGAAGUUGGAUUCGCUAGUAAUCGCGCAUCAGCCAUGGCGCGGUGAAUACGUUCCCGGGCCUUGUACACACCGCCCGUCAAGCCAUGGGAGCCGGGGGUGCCUGAAGUUCGUGACCGCAAGGAGCGACCUAGGGCAAAACUGGUGACUGGGGCUAAGUCGUAACAAGGUACC